Molecule: ribosomal RNA, 671 nt
Filed under: uncultured metazoan
Lineage: Eukaryota; Metazoa
Description: partial 18S ribosomal RNA
Source: RNAcentral
GAGCUCUCAAUCUGUCAAUCCUUUCAGUGUCCGGGCCGGGUGAGUUUUCCCGUGUUGAGUCAAAUUAAGCCGCAGGCUCCACUCCUGGUGGUGCCCUUCCGUCAAUUCCUUUAAGUUUCAGCUUUGCAACCAUACUUCCCCCGGAACCCAAAGACUUUGGUUUCCCGGGGACUGCUCGCCGAGUCAUUGAAGCAACUCCGGCGGAUCGCCAGUUGGCAUCGUUUAUGGUCAGAACUACGACGGUAUCUGAUCGUCUUCGAACCUCUGACUUUCGUUCUUGACUAAUGAAAACAUUCUUGGCAAAUGCUUUCGCAGUAGUCCGUCUUGCGAUGAUCCAAGAAUUUCACCUCUAACACCGCAAUACGAAUGCCCCCGUCUGUCCCUCUUAAUCAUUACCUCGCGUUCCGAAAACCAACGCAAUAGAACCGAGGUCCUCUUCCAUUAUUCCAUGCAACAUCAUUCAGGCGCGUGGCCUGCUUUGAACACUCUAAUUUUUUCAAAGUAAACGUUCCGGUUACCCGAGACACUCAGCGAAGAGCACCAAGGGAAGCCCGGCGGUUGGGUCGGGAUCAAGCAGUGACCGCCGCGAGGCGGACCGCAGCCCGGACCUGGGAUCCAACUACGAGCUUUUUAACUGCAGCAACUUUAAUAUACGCUAUUGGAGCUGGAAU